ACGUCCAUACCACGCUGAACACACCGGUUCUCGUCCGAUCACCGAAGUUAAGCAGCGUCGGGCGCGGUCAGUGCUUCGAUAUGACCGCCUGGGAACACCGCGUGAUGUUG
RNAcentral lists this ribosomal RNA (110 nucleotides) under Eumeta japonica. Lineage: Eukaryota; Metazoa; Arthropoda; Insecta; Lepidoptera; Psychidae. The record is from RNAcentral.